This 5954-nucleotide transfer RNA is filed under the name Pyricularia oryzae. RNAcentral describes it as "Magnaporthe oryzae sRNA M_BR32_EuGene_00145951". Lineage: Eukaryota; Fungi; Ascomycota; Sordariomycetes; Magnaporthales; Pyriculariaceae. The record is from RNAcentral.
AAUACAAAAUGUAAUGCAAAAAAUCUGUUUAAAGUGGCAUUAUUAACAGAAAAACCACCUCAAAUGAAUUCAACAAUAUCUUGCCCUAUUCAAGGUAUAGCACUAAUAAGAUUAGUAAUAACUGUAGCACCUCAUAAUGACAUCUGUCCAUAAGGUAAAACAUAACCUAGGAAACCGAUAGCCAUCAUUAAUAUUAAUAUAACAGUACCAAUAGCUCAAACUAAAGUACGAGGAGCUCUAUAUGAUCCGUAAUAUAUACCUCUUCCUAUGUGUAAAUACACUAAGAAAAAGAAAGCAGAAGCUGUAUUACUAUGUAGAUAACGAACUAAUCACCCGUUAUUAACAUCUCUCAUUAUAUGCUCUAUUGAGUUAAAAGCUUCCAUUACACUAGGACUAUAAUGCAUAGCUAAUGUAAUACCGGUAAUAAUUUGUACUAUUAAACAAACAGCUAAUAAUGAACCAAAAUUUCACAAGUAACUAAUGUUACUUGGUUGUGACGCAUCGAUAAGGUAAGAAUUCACUAAUUUUAAUAAUGAAUGACUUUUUAAUAUUCUCAUUUAAAUUUAUAUUAUAAAAAUUGAAAAAAUUUUGUAAUUGUUAGUUAAACCAAUAGACAGCCAAAUAUUAACAAUAGUUGUUAUUUAUCAAAAAAAUGUUAAAAAGCGUAAGCUUUUUGUAGUUAAAAGUAGUAUUUCUGAUCUAGAAAAUUAUUUACUCAUCUCUUUUUAGAAUCGAACUAAAACCAAUGAAUUAGAAGAUCAUUGUUCUACCAUUAAACUAAAGAGAAUAAAAUUUGAUUAGAAUCAUUAAUUGCCAAUUAAUAAGAUAAAAUCCCCAAAUAUCACGUACUAUGUAAUAUUAUAUUUUAAUAAUUAUUAAUCUCACAGUAUAAUAAUAAUAAUAAAUAGAAAAAUUAUAAUUAAUGUUUAUCAAAUGAUAAUAUAUAAACCUGGUUAAGUCCAUACCAUUAAUAUAUUACUAUAUUUAUUAUAUAUUGUAUAUAUAUAUUCUUAACUCUUAAGUAUAUAUACUCAACCCUAAACCAAUAUGUAUUAUACGUGGGCGUAUCUCUCUUAACUCUUAAGGAUCAAUACAUAAUUCUAUCAUAACCUACAUUAAUAUAAUUAUAAUUUAAAUUCAUAAACUAUAACUAGGUUAAUUUAAACUAUCCACUGUUCAUUAAAAUGAAUACCCUCCUACCGUCCAUAUAUCCUCUCUAUCAAACACUUCAAAAGCUACCUAACAAAAAUAAAUAAUAUAAAAAUAUUUUUCUAUAUCAUCCACUACUAUAACAACAAUAUUUUGUUCUCUUCUACAUCUGUAGAUGUGUAAGCAUCUAGAUAUAAAAAAAAAUUAUAAUUAAAAAUUAAAAAAUAAAAUUAAUUAUAGGUUAAUAUAUUAUAUUCUUAUACAAUAAGAUACUAUAUUAAUUAUACCUUAUAAUAAUAAUAAUCUUAAUAUACAAUAAGAUAAUAUAUAUAUAUAUAAUAAUCCUAGUUAUAGUAAAUAUAUAGUAACUAUACUAUAUAUAGGUUAUCAUCUUUUAUUUUUAAUAGCUUCCCAUUAGCUACCCUUUGGUAGGUUUUUUGGUUUUCUGCCUCUAUAACUUUACUUAGAAACCUUACCUAUUCCAACAUACUCUGUAUGGUAAUUAACGUUCAAUUUAGGUAUAUAUAAUUUUUGUCUGCUGUCUAUUUUAAGAGCGCUUUUACCUAAUUCAAAUAUAAAUCCUAUAGUUAUUAUAGCUAUAAAAAUUAAAGUAACUAAAAGACCAUAAAUACCAUUAACAUACUCACUAAGAGCGAAAGGGAAAGUUAAUAAUAUUUCUAAAUCUAAAAGUAAAUAAACUAAAGCAAAAAUAAAGAAUUUUAUACCGAAUUGUGUUCUAUUUUGCCCUAAAAAACUAUGGAAACCACACUCGAAAAUACUAUAUUUUUCUUGAUAAGGAUUAUGAGGAGCAAAUAUAAAAUUAAUGGCUAAAAAUAAAAUAGCUAUAACAGAUACAAACCCUAUAAAUAAUGUCAUACUACUCAUUAAUAGCUAAAUAAAGAUUGUACCAAUAUAGUACCCAGACUUAAUCAUUCUUUAUUCAUAAACAUGAAUAAUAAAACUACUAAUGUAAUAGUAGAAAUAGUUAUUGCCACAGAACUAGACAUAACUACAUUUGUAUAAUUAAAUUCAACAUUUAAUAUUUUAUUGUUUCUAUUAAUAAUUUGACCAUUAAUAGUAUUAUUUUUAAUUUCUUCGUUUAAUUUAUAGUCAGGUGAAUAAAAGAACAUUUCUUUAAUUAUAUUUAAAUAAUAAACCCCUCCUAUAACACUAGUUAAUAUUGCAACUAAAGAUAAAAAGAUAUAACCUUGAUCAAUAGCCGCGCUUAAUACCAUCUGUUUAGCAAAGAACCCUACAAGAGGAGGAAUACCUGCAAAAGAGAAAAUAGUAAUAGCUAAACUUAAAGCUAAUAAAGGAUUUAUGAAAAAAUACCCUUUAAGUUGAUUUAUUAACUGUAUAGGUGAAUUAUUUUUAUCUAAUAACUCUUUAUGUUCUUUAGAAUUGUUAUAAUAAAAGUAUAAAGAAAAACCUAUAGUAACUAAUAUUAUAAAUGCAUUUAAAUUACUUAAAGAAUAUUGUAUUAGAUAAAACACAAAUGCUUGUGUAGAUUCUACUGUUGAUAUACUUAAAGCUAAUAGUAUAAAACCUACAUGUGAAAUAGUACUAUAAGCAAAUAAUCUUUUAAUUCUAAAUUGGCUUAGCCCUACAACAGUACCAAUUAUCAAUGAUAAUAAUGAACUAACUAAUAAACCACUAGUUCAGUUAAUAGAUUGUUGACUAAUAUUACUUGUAUAAUAAACAAUUUCUAAUAGGAAUAUAAAUAUAGAUAAUUUAGCUAUAAUAGCAACAAAUGUAGUAACUAUUGUUGGUAUUGAAUCAUAAACAUCAGGUGAUCAGAAGUGAAAUGGAGCAGCACUCACUUUAAAUAAAAAUCCUAUGCUAAAUACAACAAAGGCAAAAUUAAUAUAAAAAGGUUUAUAUCAUAUAUUAUUUGAUAUAUCACCUAUACUAUUUAGUAUAUAUAUACCAUCUAAGUUAGUUGUACCUGAAUUUAUAUAUAAUAAACUAGUACCUAAUAAAAUAAAACAUGAACUCAAUCCACCUAAUAAGAAAUAAAUUAAACCUCCUGUAGUAGAAAGUUCAGAAUUUCUAUAUAUAGUACUUAAUAAAUAUAACCCAUAACUUUGUAAUUCAAUAGCUAAAAAUAUAGAAAUUAAAUCAUUAGUAGAUAUUAAGAAUAUUGCCCCUGUAACUAUAAAUAGAAUAAUUAAAGGAUAUUCUAUUAUACUUAAAUGUUCUGCCAUUUUAUUAGAUAUUUUAGUUUUAUAAUAGUUAAAUCUAUAAAAAAAUAUAGUUAAUAUAGAAGAAUAUUCUUUAGCUCAAACUUUUCUAGGGUGAAAACUAGUUAAUUGUAAAAUAAUAAUAGUUAUGAUACAUAUUACAAUAUUAAAAAUUUUUGAAAAAUUAUUUACGAAUAAUAAACCUCCGUGUAUACCUAUACCCUUAUUAUCAAGAGAUAGUGUGAAAAACGACAAUAAUACACAGUACAUUAAUAUAAUUAUAGCUAUUCUAUUAAAAAGAAUAGCUAAAUCUCGCCUAAAGGUUACGGAAUUACUAAUCAAUAAUAAUAAAGUUGAAAAUAAGAGCAUAAAUAGUAGAAGGACUUGAACCUUCAAUGUAUGAGAUAAGCUCACUAUUUUACCUUUAAACUAUACUAUUUAGAUAUAUAUUAAUAUAGAGUUCAUAUAAUUGUGUAUUCUACUAAAAUAACUACAGAAAGCAAGGUUCCACUUAACCUCAUUAAUUAGCCUAGGCUCAAACAAUUAAGUUAGUUACCUAUAUAAUCGUAGCUUAAGCUACGGCUAUUAAUAAUUAAUCCGGGAAAAUUUCUAACUAAAUAUAAUUAACACUUGAAAAUGUGUGUGUGUGUGUGAUUGUGGGUGUGAACACACAAGAUGAAAUUUUAAUUUCAGUAUCAAGAGUACUAGGACUUGAACCCAGAUAAAUGAGGUUGAAGCUCAUCGUUUUACCAUUAAACUAUACUCUUUUGGCGCUUGCAAAAGCUACAAAAAAUAUAUUACAAUGUACUACACUAGAAAAAUAUUCUAUAAGUAUUCUAUGCAAUAGUAAAUAAAAAUAGAAGGUUAUGUAGGAAUCGAACCUAAAAAGGGAAGAUCUGCAAUCUUCUUGUAGACCAUCUACGUCAUAACCUUAAAAUAUAUAGAUAUACUAUACCAAAUUCGGAUUAUCGUGAAUCGAACACAACUGGUUCCCAACCCAAAUGAGAUGCCUAACCGCCCGGCCCUAAUCCGUAAUAAUGGGGCGUAAUAUAGUUAUAAAUAGGGGGGGUAAAUAAUAUACAGAGAAUAUCCGAUUCGAACGGAUGAGGCCUGAGAGACCCAAUAAAACUCAAACUUACCGCCUUAAACCACUCGGCCAAUUCUCUUUUUUACUCUUAAGGAGUAUAAUUCUUCCAAGACUUGAACUUGAAUGACAUUCUUAUCAAAAAUGCAUUUUACCACUUAAAUUAAAGAAUUUAAGAAAUAAGUGAUUUGAACACUCAACCUUCCGUGUGUAAAACGGUUGCUCUACCGUUGAGCUAAUUUCUUUAUAAUCUAAAAAAUAAAACUAAAAAAAAAAAUAAGGUAAAUAUACCUUAAAAUCUUAAUUAUUUUUUAAUAGUAAUAACUAUAGCACCUACCAUUGCUAAUAAUAAUAUAAAACUAGACAUUAUAAGUCAUAUAUUGUAAUUAGUAUACAUAAUAUUACCUAUACUUGUAAUAUGACUAAAUUCAACUAAAUUCCCAUCUCAAGAUGUACCAGUAACAUAAUAUAUUUUAUCUUGCUGUGUGCUUUGCGUGCUGCUAGAUACAUGAUUUAUACUUCUUAAUAUAAUAUUGUAUAUUUCAUAAGUAAAAUAAUACCCCAUAUUAGUAAUUUUAGUUGUAUAAGGUAAUACAUUAUAAAAAAUAGAGUUAACUAACAUUAUUACAAUAAUACCUAAUGAUAUACUAUCUAUAGGAUUGCUAUCUAGUUCACUAAUUCUAAUAUUUAAUAACAUUAAAAUGAAUAAAAAUAAGAUAGAUACUGCACCUAUAUAUACUAUUAAGUAAGAUAACCCAAUAAAAGUUAAACCAAUAAUAAUUAAAUAAGAAGAAAUACUACCAAAUAACCCAAUUAAAAAUAAGACAGAAACAAUAGGAUUUUUACUAACAAUAACCGAUAUAGCACAAAAAACAGCAAAUAUAGAUAUUAAAGUAAAAAUAUCAACACUAUAACCGUUGGUCAUAAUUUCCUGUGUAAAAUAUAAACUAAACAUAAUUUAAAAAAAAAAUAAAAUCUCCCCUAAUAAGGUCAAAUGAAUAUUUGGUUAAUCUACUAUUUUGUAGCUAGACAAAAAAAUUAGUAUAAUGUACCAAAAAGGGUAAGGCUAUAUGGGUCACUUAAACCUAUAAGCAAACGGAAAAGAGAGGAAUCGAACCUCCAGGUGCAAAACACAAUAUAUAGCAAAUAUCUUACCCUACCAAUGGAAACUUUUCCUCCUAUCGAACUAGACCGGAAUCGAACCGGCAUCUAUUUUCGUGACAAGAAAAUCCUUUACCAAUUAAGUUACUAGAUCUUGGGCAGGAUGCGAGAUGGGGAAAAAGUAUUAAAUGUUCAUUAAGUUACUUACUUAUAUAAGCGGAUAUAGGACUUGCACCUAUAUACUUUGGUCAUGAGUCAAAUAUGUUACUUAUUACAUUAAUCCACUCUAAUUCAAUAUAAAUAAAAAAUAAUAUAUAUAAAGAGAUAUAUACCACAUAAGCGUAUAUCAACUAUAUAUUCAGCUUUUUUAACUGAAAGCCCCACUAGCGGUAAAUAGCUAUCCUACUAUAAUAAUAUAAGGUUAUUAGCUUUAAUUAAUA